UCUAACUUAAAACUAAGUGACGGCAGC
This 27-nucleotide small RNA is filed under the name Bombyx mori (domestic silkworm). RNAcentral's name for it is "ovarian small RNA-29405". The record is from RNAcentral. Lineage: Eukaryota; Metazoa; Arthropoda; Insecta; Lepidoptera; Bombycidae.